GAUGAACGCUGGCGGCGUGCCUAAUACAUGCAAGUCGAGCGAACAGACGAGGAGCUUGCUCCUCUGACGUUAGCGGCGGACGGGUGAGUAACACGUGGAUAACCUACCUAUAAGACUGGGAUAACUUCGGGAAACCGGAGCUAAUACCGGAUAAUAUAUUGAACCGCAUGGUUCAAUAGUGAAAGACGGUUUUGCUGUCACUUAUAGAUGGGUCCGCGCCGCAUUAGCUAGUUGGUAAGGUAACGGCCUACCAAGGCAACGAUGCGUAGCCGACCUGAGAGGGUGAUCGGCCACACUGGAACUGAGACACGGUCCAGACUCCUACGGGAGGCAGCAGUAGGGAAUCUUCCGCAAUGGGCGAAAGCCUGACGGAGCAACGCCGCGUGAGUGAUGAAGGUCUUCGGAUCGUAAAACUCUGUUAUUAGGGAAGAACAAAUGUGUAAGUAACUAUGCACGUCUUGACGGUACCUAAUCAGAAAGCCACGGCUAACUACGUG
This 497-nucleotide ribosomal RNA is filed under the name uncultured bacterium. Its description in RNAcentral is "partial 16S ribosomal RNA". It matches the Rfam family "Bacterial small subunit ribosomal RNA", at positions 28 to 507 of the family's 1533-position model. The record is from RNAcentral.